RNAcentral lists this unclassified non-coding RNA (253 nucleotides) under Hevea brasiliensis (rubber tree). Lineage: Eukaryota; Viridiplantae; Streptophyta; Magnoliopsida; Malpighiales; Euphorbiaceae. The record is from RNAcentral.
CUGGGUUGAAACUAGGCGGAUCAUCUUACUAAAAAAAUAUAUAUUUAAUGGUCGUGAAGUCUGGGCCUGAAGGAUGCAUUUUGAAGGUUAUUGCCAUUUACAUUAUAUCACAAACUUGGCAUAUUUUUCUUUAUACACAUAUACACACACAUAUCUAUUAAAUUACUUUAUAAAAUUUAUCAAAAUUAUUUUUUCUAUUAACUUAAAUUAUACUGUAUCAAUAUACCAACCGCAAUAAAUUUUUAGGAUAAAG